UGAACGUCUGUCUAUAAGUGAGGAGGAGCAGGACAUGGAUGCUUCAAUUGCUCUGAGUAGGCGUUGGCCUUUCAUUUCCACCGCCUUAAGACGGCUCUUUCAACUACAGGUGUCCAGCCUGAGGCAGAAACAUGCCCUCCUGUGGCUCACUCACUGCCGGUACAAGGUUAUCCACGACCAAGGAUCUGGGAUCCGCUCUUUUUGAUCCUACCGCAAGAUUUUUCAUCUGGCAUAAGAAAAGAUUUGGCAAAGAGCUGAACGUAGAUCAGCUCUGUCGUUUUGAAUUUUGCUGCUCUAACCCUGAACUGUGUGAUGGCGUUAACCUGAGACGGUUGAAAGGCAGACCAUGGAUGUCUGCGGUGGACAAGAAAAGAGGCGCUCUGCUGGAUGGAGGCCAUGCAGAGGUGGUGUGAGGGAUCAGAUAUUGCCCAAGGGGGUCCACCAACGCAUCAUCCCCCAGCGAUGAGUAAGCUACCACCAGCGGUACCAGCGGAGAAACACUGCUGGAUGAGCAGGGAACAGUGGGAGACGACGUCAGAAAUUGCCAGAGUUAAAGUGGGAGUUGCUCAAGUGAAGGAGGCUGAGUCCAGAAGAGGAGCUCAUAAUGGUAAUGUGGCCAGCAGGUGGGAAAUGGCCAAGUGUCCUCUGGUACAGUUAGAGGGAGAAAUUGGGAGCUGGAGUGUUGGGAAACUGGAAGGAUGUACAGUGGUUAUAAUGAGGCUUGCAGAGUGUGUAUGUGUUGGAGGUAGAGCUGGGAGAAGGAGAGCACAGGUGAGACGGCCAUCACAGGAAAGCCAGAGUCAGACUUCAUCAGUCAACACCACCACAGCCUGCACAGCAGAGGAAGUAGUAGUUCACCUUGGGAAAUUAGUCUCACACUUGCCUUCAUUUCUUCUGAAGUCCCAGGAGCCGUUUCUUUUUUUUUUCUUUACAGUUUGUUUCUCUUGUUCUGUUUGA
This 957-nucleotide long non-coding RNA is filed under the name Betta splendens (Siamese fighting fish). RNAcentral's name for it is "lncRNA (ENSBSLG00000022421.1)". The record is from RNAcentral. Lineage: Eukaryota; Metazoa; Chordata; Actinopteri; Anabantiformes; Osphronemidae.